UACAGUGGGUGCAAACGUUGUUCGGAAUUACUGGGCGUAAAGCGCACGUAGGCGGCUUUGCAAGUUAGAGGUGAAAGCCCGGGGCUCAACUCCGGAAUUGCCUUUAAAACUGCAUCGCUAGAAUUGUGGAGAGGUAAGUGGAAUUCCGAGUGUAGAGGUGAAAUUCGUAGAUAUUCGGAAGAACACCAGCGGCGAAGGCGACUUACUGGACACAUAUUGACGCUGAGGUGCGAAAGCGUGGGGAGCAAACAGG
RNAcentral lists this ribosomal RNA (253 nucleotides) under uncultured bacterium. RNAcentral describes it as "partial 16S ribosomal RNA". It matches the Rfam family "Bacterial small subunit ribosomal RNA", at positions 524 to 776 of the family's 1533-position model. The record is from RNAcentral.